UUAACUCAAAUUUGUAUGGAGUUGGAACGUUUGCCUAUUUUUGCCGCUAGGGGCGCCUUUCCAACUGCAUACAAAUGCGAGUUA
Non-coding RNA from Bombyx mori (domestic silkworm), 84 nucleotides. The record is from Rfam. Lineage: Eukaryota; Metazoa; Arthropoda; Insecta; Lepidoptera; Bombycidae.